CUUUGACUGGUACUGCAUACCCACGCAUUUACCCUCUGAGCUGCAUUCUGUCAACCUGGCCGGCUGCCAAACUUUCAUAUGAAUGAGUCAUUGGUUGUAGACAACAGGGACGCAUAUGAGAUGGUACCCCACCUGGUGGUAACAGUCCACGGAUUUACUCUAAUGAAGAGGUGCAUGUCUGCCAUCUAGUGGAAAAUAUGAUUGUGAUCCAGUGCACCUAACAAGGCCCAACCCUGUUCCUGGGGAACUACCGUCCUGUUCCUGGGGAACUGCCGUCCUGUUCCUGGAGAACUUCCGUCCUGUUCCUGGAGCUACCCCCUUGUUUCUGGAGAACUGCUACCCUGUUCCUGGAACUAUCACCCUGUUCCUGGAGAACUACCAUCCUGUUCCUGGGGAACUGCCACCCUGUUCCUGGGGAACUGCCACCCUGUUCCUGGGGAACUGCCACCCUGUUCCUGGGGAACUGCCACCCUGUUCCUGGAGAACUACCACCCUGUUCCUGGAGAACUAUCAUUCUGUUCUUGGAGAACUGCCGUCCUGUUCCUGGAACUACCAUUCUGUUCCUGGACAGCUACCGCCCUGUUCCUGGAGAACCGCCGUCGUGUUCCUGGAGAACCGCCGUCGUGUUCCUGGAGAACCGCCGUCAUGUUCCUGGAGAACCGCCGUCGUGUUCCUGGAGAACCGCCGUCGUGUUCCUGGAGGACCACCGUCGUGUUCCUGGAGAACUAACAUCCUAUUCCUGGAGAUCUACUGUCCUGUCCCUGGAACUACCAUUCUAUUCCUGGAGAACUACCGCCCUGGUCCUAGAACAAGCAUUCUGUUUCUGGAGAACUACUAUACAGUUCCCGUGGGAACUAACGCCCUGUUCCUUCCGUCCUGUUCCCCGGGGAACUACUGUCCUGUCCUGGAAAACUACCGUCCUGUAGAUUGUCUCUCAAACACUAAUUUAGCACACCUAAUCAGGUUAGUCACAACUGGGAUUGGAGAGAAUCUACAGGAUGCUAGAUGCCCAAGAGCAGAAUUGGGCAACCCUGGCACUGCUUACUUGUUGUAGAUGUUUUCUUUGUUACACGCUUUCUUUAAUUAUGUCUGCGACUGACUGCAUGCCAA
This is a long non-coding RNA of Esox lucius (northern pike), 1110 nucleotides long. Lineage: Eukaryota; Metazoa; Chordata; Actinopteri; Esociformes; Esocidae. The record is from Ensembl.